Molecule: small nuclear RNA, 107 nt
Filed under: Cervus elaphus hippelaphus
Lineage: Eukaryota; Metazoa; Chordata; Mammalia; Artiodactyla; Cervidae
Also listed under: 1 other name
Source: RNAcentral
GAGCUCGCUUCAGCAGCACAUAUACUAAAAUUGAAACGAUACAGAGAAGAUUAUCAUGGCCCCUGCGCAAGGAUGACAUGCAAAUUUGUGAAGCGUUCCUUAUUUUU